RNAcentral lists this ribosomal RNA (253 nucleotides) under uncultured bacterium. Its description in RNAcentral is "partial 16S ribosomal RNA". It matches the Rfam family "Bacterial small subunit ribosomal RNA", at positions 524 to 776 of the family's 1533-position model. The record is from RNAcentral.
UACGAAGGGGGCUAGCGUUGUUCGGAAUCACUGGGCGUAAAGCGCACGUAGGCGGCUCUUUAAGUCAGGGGUGAAAUCCUGGAGCUCAACUCCAGAACUGCCUUUGAUACUGGGGAUCUCGAGUCCGGAAGAGGUGAGUGGAACUCCGAGUGUAGAGGUGAAAUUCGUAGAUAUUCGGAAGAACACCAGUGGCGAAGGCGGCUCACUGGUCCGGUACUGACGCUGAGGUGCGAAAGCGUGGGGAGCAAACAGG